UUAUACUGCAAGUCGAACGAGAAAGCAUCCUUCGGGAUGUGAGUAAAGUGGCGAACGGGUGAGUAACACGUAGGUAACCUGCCUAUGAGUUGGGGAUAACAUGCCUAACGGCGUGCUAAUACCGAAUGAAGCACUGGGAUUAAUUUUCAGUGUUAAAGAUAUCCUUUGGUUAUCGCUCAUAGAUGGGCCUGCGGCUCAUUAGCUAGUUGGCGGGGUAACGGCCCACCAAGGCAACGAUGGGUAGCCGGCCUGAGAGGGUGGUCGGCCACACUGGGACUGAGAUACGGCCCAGACUCCUACGGGAGGCAGCAGUAAGGAAUAUUGCGCAAUGGUCGCAAGACUGACGCAGCAACGCCGCGUGGAUGAUGACGCUCUAUGGAGUGUAAAGUCCUGUUAGAAGGGAAGAACAGUAUGGAGUUAAAGCUUCAUAUAUGACGGUACCUUCAGAGAAAGCCCCGGCUAACUCCGUGCCAGCAGCCGCGGUAAUACGGGGGGGGCAAGCGUUGUCCGGAAUUAC
RNAcentral lists this ribosomal RNA (517 nucleotides) under uncultured bacterium. RNAcentral's name for it is "bacterial SSU rRNA". It matches the Rfam family "Bacterial small subunit ribosomal RNA", at positions 49 to 554 of the family's 1533-position model. The record is from RNAcentral.